RNAcentral lists this ribosomal RNA (1319 nucleotides) under Staphylococcus aureus. RNAcentral's name for it is "partial 23S ribosomal RNA". It matches the Rfam family "Bacterial large subunit ribosomal RNA", at positions 285 to 1600 of the family's 2925-position model. The record is from RNAcentral. Lineage: Bacteria; Bacillati; Bacillota; Bacilli; Caryophanales; Staphylococcaceae.
UUGCUUGUUGGGGUUGUAGGACACUCUAUACGGAGUUACAAAGGACGACAUUAGACGAAUCAUCUGGAAAGAUGAAUCAAAGAAGGUAAUAAUCCUGUAGUCGAAAAUGUUGUCUCUCUUGAGUGGAUCCUGAGUACGACGGAGCACGUGAAAUUCCGUCGGAAUCUGGGAGGACCAUCUCCUAAGGCUAAAUACUCUCUAGUGACCGAUAGUGAACCAGUACCGUGAGGGAAAGGUGAAAAGCACCCCGGAAGGGGAGUGAAAUAGAACCUGAAACCGUGUGCUUACAAGUAGUCAGAGCCCGUUAAUGGGUGAUGGCGUGCCUUUUGUAGAAUGAACCGGCGAGUUACGAUUUGAUGCAAGGUUAAGCAGUAAAUGUGGAGCCGUAGCGAAAGCGAGUCUGAAUAGGGCGUUUAGUAUUUGGUCGUAGACCCGAAACCAGGUGAUCUACCCUUGGUCAGGUUGAAGUUCAGGUAACACUGAAUGGAGGACCGAACCGACUUACGUUGAAAAGUGAGCGGAUGAACUGAGGGUAGCGGAGAAAUUCCAAUCGAACCUGGAGAUAGCUGGUUCUCUCCGAAAUAGCUUUAGGGCUAGCCUCAAGUGAUGAUUAUUGGAGGUAGAGCACUGUUUGGACGAGGGGCCCCUCUCGGGUUACCGAAUUCAGACAAACUCCGAAUGCCAAUUAAUUUAACUUGGGAGUCAGAACAUGGGUGAUAAGGUCCGUGUUCGAAAGGGAAACAGCCCAGACCACCAGCUAAGGUCCCAAAAUAUAUGUUAAGUGGAAAAGGAUGUGGCGUUGCCCAGACAACUAGGAUGUUGGCUUAGAAGCAGCCAUCAUUUAAAGAGUGCGUAAUAGCUCACUAGUCGAGUGACACUGCGCCGAAAAUGUACCGGGGCUAAACAUAUUACCGAAGCUGUGGAUUGUCCUUUGGACAAUGGUAGGAGAGCGUUCUAAGGGCGUUGAAGCAUGAUCGUAAGGACAUGUGGAGCGCUUAGAAGUGAGAAUGCCGGUGUGAGUAGCGAAAGACGGGUGAGAAUCCCGUCCACCGAUUGACUAAGGUUUCCAGAGGAAGGCUCGUCCGCUCUGGGUUAGUCGGGUCCUAAGCUGAGGCCGACAGGCGUAGGCGAUGGAUAACAGGUUGAUAUUCCUGUACCACCUAUAAUCGUUUUAAUCGAUGGGGGGACGCAGUAGGAUAGGCGAAGCGUGCGAUUGGAUUGCACGUCUAAGCAGUAAGGCUGAGUAUUAGGCAAAUCCGGUACUCGUUAAGGCUGAGCUGUGAUGGGGAGAAGACAUUGUGUCUUCGAGUCGUUGAUUU